This 253-nucleotide ribosomal RNA is filed under the name uncultured bacterium. RNAcentral describes it as "partial 16S ribosomal RNA". It matches the Rfam family "Bacterial small subunit ribosomal RNA", at positions 524 to 776 of the family's 1533-position model. The record is from RNAcentral.
UACGGGGGGGGCAAGCGUUGUUCGGAAUUACUGGGCGUAAAGGGCUCGUAGGCGGCCAACUAAGUCGGACGUGAAAUCCCCAGGCUCAACCUGGGAACUGCGUCCGAUACUGGAUGGCUUGAAUCCGGGAGAGGGAUGCAGAAUUCCAGGUGUAGCGGUGAAAUGCGUAGAUAUCUGGAGGAACACCGGUGGCGAAGGCGGCAUUCUGGACCAAUACUGACGCUGAGGAGCGAAAGCCAGGGGAGCAAACGGG